UGAAGCGACUUAGCAGCAGCAGCAACAGUAGCAUUUAAUAAGUUCUGACUGAAGUCACAAAAAAAGUCACAAGUUUUCCACCAAAUGAUGAUGUGGAAAUGGUGAACCUAACCCCAGGGCCCCCUGACCAUACCCCUUCAUGUAGGAAUCACCCCCUGCCAUCUGAGAGCCCCUGCCCACUGUCCCUCAACCCUCUGCAAACAGUAGCUAUUAUGAGUUCACUCUGCCUGGAUGGCUUCUGGGAAGUGCCCUCAAAGCUGACAAUUAAAGGGAGCCUUUCAUUUAAACCCCACUGGCUGGGGACAUCCUCUUCAUCUCUGAGCCCUGUGUCUAGGGGUUUUCUCAGUGUCGACCGGGAGCAGGCAGGGAGGGGCAAAAGGUCCAUUGUUGAAGAGGACUCUCCCUGCCCAGCAGGCCCAGCAUGAGAGUCCUGGGCUUGUUCUCCAGGUCAGGCAGGAAGAGAUGCCCGGCCCCAACCCAGCCUCGGCCCAGCCCUGCUUCGGAAAUGGUCAGCACUGCCAGGCCUUUGGCCAGGUCAUGGCCGUCCGUGGGAAAGUGGGCUGCCUCAUCCUCUGGCUUCGCUUGUCCUUGGAUCUCUCCCAGUGCCUUUGAGAGAAGAUGAAAGAACCUGGGAGCUCCCGUACCUGGAGAAGUCGUGUCUUCUCAUCCCCAUUCCCCAGCAGCACUCUCCUCCUCUACCCUCCAUCUCCCUGUCCAGCUUCAUCCCGGCCACUGCAGCAGCCUCCUCUUGGAGCUCCCUGAGCACACUCCACCUUCUACAGUCUGUUCCCCUGGUGCGGCCAGAGGACCCAGGAGACCAUUGAAUCAGACCCCAGCCCUGCUUACAGUCUUCCUUAACUUCCCAUUGUAUUUAGAAUAAAAUUCACUAUAUGGCCCCACUGCACUUAGAAUAAAAUAAAAACUUCUUUUCAGGCAAA
This is a long non-coding RNA of Bubalus bubalis (water buffalo), 938 nucleotides long. RefSeq lists it as uncharacterized. The record is from RefSeq and is a predicted model, not a curated record. NCBI's taxonomy places the organism in Eukaryota, Metazoa, Chordata, Mammalia, Artiodactyla, Bovidae. The transcript is spliced from 2 exons.